UACGGGGGGGGCAAGCGUUGUUCGGAAUUACUGGGCGUAAAGGGCUCGUAGGCGGCCAACUAAGUCAGACGUGAAAUCCCUCGGCUUAACCGGGGAACUGCGUCUGAUACUGGAUGGCUUGAGUUUGGGAGAGGGAUGCGGAAUUCCAGGUGUAGCGGUGAAAUGCGCAGAUAUCAGGAGGAACACCGGUGGCGAAGGCGGAUCUCUGGGCCUUACCUGACGCUCAGGCACGAAAGCUAGGGGAGCAAACGGG
RNAcentral lists this ribosomal RNA (253 nucleotides) under uncultured bacterium. RNAcentral describes it as "partial 16S ribosomal RNA". It matches the Rfam family "Bacterial small subunit ribosomal RNA", at positions 524 to 776 of the family's 1533-position model. The record is from RNAcentral.